AAUAGUUACUAGGAAUCCAUUGCUAACUGAAUUUUAAAAUGAAUUAAAAAUUUUAUUUUAUAUAAUUUUAGGUUAUUCAUAAAUACUUAUAUAUUGGUUGUCUUUAUUGUUAAUUGAAACUAAUGGACAAUUAUUUUUUCAGAUGCCUCGAAGAGCAGUAUCAUCUAGAGGUAGAGGACAUAGCUAGCAGCUCUCUAUGAAUGAAACAGAUGAGCCAGUACAGAUGCAAGAGGAAACACUGGAGCACUUCGGACUUUCUUAGUUAUCCAUUAAGAUGCGCUACACUGCUCCAUGGAAAACUUUGUCAGAAAUACCUUUAAAGACAAAAGACGAGCUCUUCGGACUUUUUCGGGUAAAUACAACUUAUAUUCUAAAAUUUCUAAUAUGCAUUUUAAGUUUUUUAAAUUUACAUAACACUAAUUGUUGUUUGUAGAGUCGAUAUGUAUGGGAUGAGAGUGAAGAAGAUAUGAUUCGAACUGCUUGGGAAAAGGUAGGAAAAGAAAGACUGCGAGACAUUCUUAAUAGAGUUAGGAGUGAUUAUGUUUUCUUUUUUUAUUUAGGGAGCUUAUUUGAUUGCCAUUGCUGAAAAUGUGAAUGACAAUUGUGAUAGUCAGUCUGCUUUUGAUUUGAAUAAGUGGAUGGAAAUUUCUGGAAGUAGUAAAGGGAGGGUUUAUGGUUUUGGAUCUUCUGAUAUUGCAAAAUCUGGAACUCCAACUCAAAAUGAAACAAGACAUGGAGCAAAUGCAAGAGCAAAUGCAAGAGCAAAUGCGAGUGCAGAUAGAAAAGCAAAUAAAAGAUCAGAUGAAAUCAUUGAAGAACAAAAAAAGAUAUUCACCGCAUAAUCCAACUGCAGAUUGUACUUCUCUAUCAGAUGGUUUAACAAAUUCAUAGAUUAGUUUUUAGUUUUACGAACAUUGUUAAGUAUAAUUGAUUUAUUUUAAAUUUUAUGACGAUUGUUAAGUAUUAUGAAUUUAUUUUAAAUUUUAUGAAUAUUGUUAAAUAUUAUGAAUUUAUUUUAAAUAUUCUGAA
RNAcentral lists this long non-coding RNA (1029 nucleotides) under Manihot esculenta (cassava). Its description in RNAcentral is "long non-coding RNA (MESC_LNC006275)". The record is from RNAcentral. Lineage: Eukaryota; Viridiplantae; Streptophyta; Magnoliopsida; Malpighiales; Euphorbiaceae.